This 253-nucleotide ribosomal RNA is filed under the name uncultured bacterium. RNAcentral describes it as "partial 16S ribosomal RNA". It matches the Rfam family "Bacterial small subunit ribosomal RNA", at positions 524 to 776 of the family's 1533-position model. The record is from RNAcentral.
UACGGGGGGGGCAAGCGUUGUUCGGAAUUACUGGGCGUAAAGGGCUCGUAGGCGGCCAACUAAGUCAGACGUGAAAUCCCCAGGCUCAACCUGGGAACUGCGUCUGAUACUGGAUGGCUUGAAUCCGGGAGAGGGAUGCAGAAUUCCAGGUGUAGCGGUGAAAUGCGUAGAUAUCUGGAGGAAUACCGGUGGCGAAGGCGGCAUCCUGGACCGGUACUGACGCUGAUGCGCGAAAGCGUGGGGAGCAAACGGG